CGGCUUUGUUCAUCUGAAAGUAGUGAGUCAUUGUUAAUCAUCAGCAAAGGGGCUUUGGAAGCUUUUAAAAGUUGCGGGUGUUUCGUCCUCACGUAAAGAUAAGUCACGAAAGUCGAACAGGUAAUUAAACUGCUUGCUUUUUGGUUAUUUUCAGUUGGCUUUUCUUUGACUUCAUCAUGUAGAAGUCAAAAUCGCGUACCUUAAUUUAAAAGCAUAUCACACCAGAAGCGGGCAUUCAACGUAUCGUAGAAGGUAAAGCAAGAAGCGAAAUUUGCAGAUAUCAUUCAAAAAUAAGGGAAGCUCGCUUACUUAGUCGUGCUGUGGUCAUGCUUUGCAAAUAUUUCUUUGUUCAACCAAUGUAAUAGCAAAGCAAAGCAUUUCAAAAGAAACGAAUGAUGAAAAUGUUUCAAAAUUUA
Long non-coding RNA from Xenia sp. Carnegie-2017, 416 nucleotides. RefSeq lists it as uncharacterized. The record is from RefSeq and is a predicted model, not a curated record. NCBI's taxonomy places the organism in Eukaryota, Metazoa, Cnidaria, Anthozoa, Malacalcyonacea, Xeniidae. The transcript has 2 exons.